UACGGAGGGUGCAAGCGUUAUCCGGAUUCACUGGGUUUAAAGGGUGUGUAGGCGGGUAUUUAAGUCAGUGGUGAAAUCUCCAGGCUCAACCUGGAAACUGCCAUUGAUACUAUUUAUCUUGAAUUUUGUUGAGGUAGGCGGAAUAUGUCAUGUAGCGGUGAAAUGCUUAGAUAUGACAUAGAACACCGAUUGCGAAGGCAGCUUACUAAGCAAACAUUGACGCUGAGGCACGAAAGCGUGGGGAUCAAACAGG
RNAcentral lists this ribosomal RNA (253 nucleotides) under uncultured bacterium. RNAcentral describes it as "partial 16S ribosomal RNA". It matches the Rfam family "Bacterial small subunit ribosomal RNA", at positions 524 to 776 of the family's 1533-position model. The record is from RNAcentral.